AACGAACGCUGGCGGCGUGCUUAACACAUGCAAGUCGAACGGAACGGCCCUGCUUUUUUGGGGUGCGCGGGUGGCGAACGGGUGAGUAACACGUGAGUAACCUGCCCUUGACUUUGGGAUAACUUCAUGAAGCUGGGGCUAAUACCGGAUAGGAGCUCCUGCCGCUUGGUGGGGGUUGGAAAGUUUCGGCGGUUGGGGAUGGACUGGCGGCUUAUCGGCUUGUUGGUGGGGUAGUGGCUUACCAAGGCUUUGAGCGGUAGCCGGCCUGGGAGGGGGACAGGCCAAGCUGGGAUGGGGAUGCGACACGGCCUCGUACGGGACGCGGCGGAGGGGUGUGGUGCACAGUGGGCGGGGGCCAGGUGCGACCACGCCGCGUGGGGGGUGACGGGCUGCGGGUUGUAUUGCGCUUUCGCCUGUGACGAAGCGUGAGUGACGGUAACGGGUAAAGAAGCACCGGCUAACUACGUG
This 468-nucleotide ribosomal RNA is filed under the name uncultured bacterium. Its description in RNAcentral is "partial 16S ribosomal RNA". It matches the Rfam family "Bacterial small subunit ribosomal RNA", at positions 28 to 507 of the family's 1533-position model. The record is from RNAcentral.